AUUGAACGCUGGCGGAAUGCUUUACACACGCAAGUCGAGCGGCAGCGCGGGGCAACCUGGCGGCGAGCGGCGAACGGGUGAGUAAUGCAUCGGAACGUACCCAGUCGUGGGGGAUAACUGUCCGAAAGGACAGCUAAUACCGCAUACGUCCUGAGGGAGAAAGCGGGGGAUCGCAAGACCUCGCGCGAUUGGAGCGGCCGAUGCCGGAUUAGCUAGUUGGUAGGGUAAAGGCCUACCAAGGCGACGAUCCGUAGCUGGUCUGAGAGGACGACCAGCCACACUGGAACUGAGACACGGUCCAGACUCCUACGGGAGGCAGCAGUGGGGAAUUUUGGACAAUGGGGGCAACCCUGAUCCAGCCAUUCCGCGUGAGUGAAGAAGGCCUCGGUUGUAAG
This 395-nucleotide ribosomal RNA is filed under the name uncultured bacterium. RNAcentral describes it as "bacterial SSU rRNA". It matches the Rfam family "Bacterial small subunit ribosomal RNA", at positions 29 to 429 of the family's 1533-position model. The record is from RNAcentral.